GGUCCCAUAGCUCAGUUGGUUAGAGCGUCGUACUAAUAUCGCUUAAACAACGAUGUUAUGUCCUCCUUCAUCGGGCAGCAAUGCGAAGGCCGAGAGUUCGAGCCUCUCUGGGACCA
This is a non-coding RNA of Hypoxylon fragiforme, 116 nucleotides long. The record is from the annotation of a RefSeq genome assembly. Lineage: Eukaryota; Fungi; Ascomycota; Sordariomycetes; Xylariales; Hypoxylaceae.